GCUACAGGCUUAACACAUGCAAGUCGAGGGGAAACGAUAUUGGAAGCUUGCUUCCGAUAGGCGUCGACCGGCGCACGGGUGAGUAACGCGUAUCCAACCUGCCCAUCACUUGGGGAUAACCUUGCGAAAGUAAGACUAAUACCCAAUGAUAUCUCUAGAAGACAUCUGAAAGGGAUUAAAGAUUUAUCGGUGAUGGAUGGGGAUGCGUCUGAUUAGCUUGUUGGCGGGGUAACGGCCCACCAAGGCGACGAUCAGUAGGGGUUCUGAGAGGAAGGUCCCCCACAUUGGAACUGAGACACGGUCCAAACUCCUACGGGAGGCAGCAGUGAGGAAUAUUGGUCAAUGGGCGAGAGCCUGAACCAGCCAAGUAGCGUGCAGGAUGACGGCCCUAUGGGUUGUAAACUGCUUUUAUAAGGGAAUAAAGUGAGUCUCGUGAGACUUUUUGCAUGUACCUUAUGAAUAAGGACCGGCUAAUUCCGUGCCAGCAGCCGCGGUAAUACGGAAGGUCCGGGCGUUAUCCGGAUUUAUUGGGUUUAAAGGGAGCGUAGGCCGGAGAUUAAGCGUGUUGUGAAAUGUAGACGCUCAACGUCUGCACUGCAGCGCGAACUGGUUUCCUUGAGUACGCACAAAGUGGGCGGAAUUCGUGGUGUAGCGGUGAAAUGCUUAGAUAUCACGAAGAACUCCGAUUGCGAAGGCAGCUCACUGGAGCGCAACUGACGCUGAAGCUCGAAAGUGCGGGUAUCGAACAGGAUUAGAUACCCUGGUAGUCCGCACGGUAAACGAUGGAUGCCCGCUGUUGGUCUGAAUAGGUCAGCGGCCAAGCGAAAGCAUUAAGCAUCCCACCUGGGGAGUACGCCGGCAACGGUGAAACUCAAAGGAAUUGACGGGGGCCCGCACAAGCGGAGGAACAUGUGGUUUAAUUCGAUGAUACGCGAGGAACCUUACCCGGGCUUGAAUUGCAGAGGAAGGAUUUGGAGACAAUGACGCCCUUCGGGGUCUCUGUGAAGGUGCUGCAUGGUUGUCGUCAGCUCGUGCCGUGAGGUGUCGGCUUAAGUGCCAUAACGAGCGCAACCCCUCUCCUUAGUUGCCAUCAGGUUAAGCUGGGCACUCUGGGGACACUGCCACCGUAAGGUGUGAGGAAGGUGGGGAU
This 1150-nucleotide ribosomal RNA is filed under the name uncultured bacterium. Its description in RNAcentral is "bacterial SSU rRNA". It matches the Rfam family "Bacterial small subunit ribosomal RNA", at positions 39 to 1180 of the family's 1533-position model. The record is from RNAcentral.